GGCGACGACGGGUAGCCGGCCUGAGAGGGCGACCGGCCACACUGGGACUGAGACACGGCCCAGACUCCUACGGGAGGCAGCAGUGGGGAAUAUUGCACAAUGGGCGCAAGCCUGAUGCAGCGACGCCGCGUGAGGGAUGACGGCCUUCGGGUUGUAAACCUCUUUCAGCAGGGAAGAAGCGNAAGUGACGGUACCUGCAGAAGAAGCGCCGGCUAACUACGUGCCAGCAGCCGCGGUAAUACGUAGGGCGCAAGCGUUGUCCGGAAUUAUUGGGCGUAAAGAGCUCGUAGGCGGUUUGUCGCGUCUGCUGUGAAAACCUAAGGCUCAACCUUGGGCUUGCAGUGGGUACGGGCAGACUAGAGUGCGGUAGGGGUGACUGGAAUUCCUGGUGUAGCGGUGGAAUGCGCAGAUAUCAGGAGGAACACCGAUGGCGAAGGCAGGUCACUGGGCCGCAACUGACGCUGAGGAGCGAAAGCAUGGGGAGCGAACAGGAUUAGAUACCCUGGUAGUCCAUGCCGUAAACGUUGGGCACUAGGUGUGGGGCUCAUUCCACGAGCUCUGUGCCGCAGCAAACGCAUUAAGUGCCCCGCCG
Molecule: ribosomal RNA, 592 nt
Filed under: Cellulomonas sp. CATR-118
Lineage: Bacteria; Bacillati; Actinomycetota; Actinomycetes; Micrococcales; Cellulomonadaceae
Description: bacterial SSU rRNA
Rfam family: Bacterial small subunit ribosomal RNA
Source: RNAcentral